RNAcentral lists this non-coding RNA (46 nucleotides) under Schistosoma bovis. The record is from RNAcentral. RNAcentral also lists the same sequence under 1 other name. Lineage: Eukaryota; Metazoa; Platyhelminthes; Trematoda; Strigeidida; Schistosomatidae.
GCACUGCUGAAGAGUCUCAUAAUAGGACGAAAUGAACAUCCAAUGC